CAGCAGCCACGGUAAUACGUAGGUGGCAAGCGUUGUCCGGAAUUAUUGGGCGUAAAGGGCUCGCAGGCGGUUUCGUAAGUCUGAUGUGAAAGCCCCGGGCUCAACCGGGGAGGGUCAUUGGAAACUAGGAAACUUGAGUGCAGAAGAGGAGAGUGGAAUUCCACGUGUAGCGGUGAAAUGCGUAGAGAUGUGGAGGAACACCAGUGGCGAAGGCGACUCUCUGGUCUGUAACUGAUGCUGAGGAGCGAAAGCGUGGGGAGCGAACAGGAUUAGAUACCCGCGUAGUCCCUGUCUCUUAUAU
Molecule: ribosomal RNA, 301 nt
Filed under: uncultured bacterium
Lineage: Bacteria
Description: partial 16S ribosomal RNA
Rfam family: Bacterial small subunit ribosomal RNA
Source: RNAcentral